CCUACGGGAGGCAGCAGUGGGGAAUAUUGGACAAUGGGCGAAAGCCUGAUCCAGCAAUGCCGCGUGUGUGAAGAAGGCCUUCGGGUUGUAAAGCACUUUAAGUUGGGAAGAAAAAGCUCUGGCUAAUAUCUAGAGCCUUGACGGUACCAACAGAAUAAGCACCGGCUAACUCUGUGCCAGCAGCCGCGGUAAUACAGAGGGUGCUAGCGUUAAUCGGAUUUACUGGGCGUAAAGCGUGCGUAGGCGGUUUGAUAAGUCGAUUGUGAAAGCCCCGGGCUUAACCUGGGAAUUGCAGUUGAUACUGUCAGACUAGAAAACGGUAGAGGGAGGCGGAACUCCAGGUGUAGCGGUGAAAUGCGUAGAUAUCUGGAAGAACACCGAUGGCGAAGGCAACCUCCUGGGCCUGUUUUGACGCUGAGGCACGAAAGCGUGGGUAGCAAACAGGAUUAGAUACCCUGGUAGUCCACGCCGUAAACGAUGAGAACUUGACGUUGGUUUGCUUAGCAAAUCGGUGUCGUAGCUAACGCGAUAAGUUCUCCGCCUGGGGAGUACGGCCGCAAGGUUGAAACUUCAAAUGAAAUUGACGG
RNAcentral lists this ribosomal RNA (587 nucleotides) under uncultured bacterium. RNAcentral's name for it is "bacterial SSU rRNA". It matches the Rfam family "Bacterial small subunit ribosomal RNA", at positions 338 to 916 of the family's 1533-position model. The record is from RNAcentral.